This is a non-coding RNA of Vicia faba (fava bean), 231 nucleotides long. Lineage: Eukaryota; Viridiplantae; Streptophyta; Magnoliopsida; Fabales; Fabaceae. The record is from the annotation of a GenBank genome assembly.
AUGCGCUUCCUUUCUCGAUCUUCUUCCCCCGUUCCAAUCUUUGUUCGCCGAUCCACCUAUCAGCAUCUUCGCGCGAAUGCCUCUUUGACGAACUUCAAUUCAACCAUCUCGCUCUCCCUUCCCACUGAUCUCCAAUUGAUUCGCCUUCUGCCUUCCUUAGAACCACGCAAAGAACACAAAGCUACGAAGCGGUUGGAUUUCGUCCGAUGCAUCUUCAGAAGCAGCGAUUAG